This 97-nucleotide small nuclear RNA is filed under the name Ochotona princeps (American pika). Lineage: Eukaryota; Metazoa; Chordata; Mammalia; Lagomorpha; Ochotonidae. The record is from RNAcentral.
AUACUCGCUUCGGCAGCACAUAUACCAAUAUUGGAACGAUUCAGGGAAGAUUAGCACGGCUCCUGCACAAGGAAGACAUAGGAACUGGGCUGUCUUU